RNAcentral lists this ribosomal RNA (245 nucleotides) under uncultured bacterium. RNAcentral's name for it is "partial 16S ribosomal RNA". It matches the Rfam family "Bacterial small subunit ribosomal RNA", at positions 116 to 354 of the family's 1533-position model. The record is from RNAcentral.
CGUGGGUAACCUGCCCAAGAGACUGGGAUAACACCUGGAAACAGAUGCUAAUACCGGAUAACAACACUAGACGCAUGUCUAGAGUUUAAAAGAUGGUUCUGCUAUCACUCUUGGAUGGACCUGCGGUGCAUUAGCUAGUUGGUAAGGUAACGGCUUACCAAGGCAAUGAUGCAUAGCCGAGUUGAGAGACUGAUCGGCCACAUUGGGACUGAGACACGGCCCGAAACUCCUACGGGAGGCAGCAG